UACAGAGGGCCCAAGCGUUGUUCGGAUUUACUGGGCGUAAAGGGUGCGUAGGCGGUGGGGUAAGUUUGAGGUGAAAGCUCCGGGCUCAACCCGGAAAAUGCCUUGAAAACUAUCCGGCUAGAGGGUUGGAGGGGAGACUGGAAUUCUCGGUGUAGCAGUGAAAUGCGUAGAUCUCGAGAGGAACACCAGUGGCGAAGGCGGGUCUCUGGACAACACCUGACGCUGAGGCACGAAAGCCAGGGGAGCAAACGGG
This 253-nucleotide ribosomal RNA is filed under the name uncultured bacterium. Its description in RNAcentral is "partial 16S ribosomal RNA". It matches the Rfam family "Bacterial small subunit ribosomal RNA", at positions 524 to 776 of the family's 1533-position model. The record is from RNAcentral.